This 634-nucleotide ribosomal RNA is filed under the name uncultured fungus. RNAcentral's name for it is "eukaryotic LSU rRNA". The stretch from base 226 to 380 matches the Rfam family "5.8S ribosomal RNA". Lineage: Eukaryota; Fungi. The record is from RNAcentral.
UCCGUAAGGAUGAACCUGCGGAAGGAUCAUUAACGAGUUAGGGUCUCUCUGGCCCGACCUCCCAACCCUUUGUCUACUUGACCAUCGUUGCUUCGGCGAGCCCGUCCUCACGGACCGCCGGAGGGAUCUUUACUGGCCCUCUGGUCCGCGCUCGUCGGCAGCCCAACCUUUAAAAUCUUUAACUAAACGUGCCUUAAUCUAAGUACAAUUAUUAAAUAAAAGCAAAACUUUCAACAACGGAUCUCUUGGUUCUGGCAUCGAUGAAGAACGCAGCGAAAUGCGAUAAGUAAUGCGAAUUGCAGAAUUCCAGUGAGUCAUCGAAUCUUUGAACGCACAUUGCGCCCUUUGGUAUUCCGAAGGGCAUGCCUGUUCGAGCGUCAUUAUCACCCCUCAAGCCCUCGGCUUGGUGUUGGACGGUUUGGUGGAGGCCCCCUCGGGGGCUCCUGCCCCUCCCAAAGACAAUGACGGCGGCCUCGUUGGACCCCCGGUACACUGAGUUCUUCACGGGACCACGUAUCGGACACAUGGGUUUACCGGACACGGUCUGCCUCCCCUCAGGGAGAAUCUUUCUAAGGUUGACCUCGGAUCAGGUAGGGAUACCCGCUGAACUUAGGCAUAUCAUAAAACCGAGGAA